AAACUAACAAGGAUUCCCCUAGUAGCGGCGAGCGAAGCGGGAAGAGCUCAAAUUUAUAAUCUGGCACCUUCGGUGUCCGAGUUGUAAUCUCUAGAAGUGUUUUCCGCGUUGGACCGCGCAUAAGUCUGUUGGAAUACAGCGGCACAGUGGUGAGACCCCCGUAUGUGGUGCGGACGCCCAGCGCUUUGUGAUACACUUUCGAAGAGUCGAGUUGUUUGGGAAUGCAGCUCAAAUUGGGUGGUAAAUUCCAUCUAAAGCUAAAUAUUGGCGAGAGACCGAUAGCGAACAAGUACCGUGAGGGAAAGAUGAAAAGCACUUUGGAAAGAGAGUUAACAGUACGUGAAAUUGUUGGAAGGGAAACGCUUGAAGUCAGACUUGCUUGCCGGGCAACCGGUUUGCAGGCCAGCAUCAGUUUUCCGGGGUGGAUAAUGGUAGAGAGAAGGUAGCAGUUUCGGCUGUGUUAUAGCUCUCUACUGGAUACACCUUGGGGGACUGAGGAACGCAGUGUGCCUUACGGCGGAGGUUUCGACCUCUCACACUUAGGAUGC
RNAcentral lists this ribosomal RNA (548 nucleotides) under Rhodotorula sphaerocarpa. Its description in RNAcentral is "partial large subunit ribosomal RNA". It matches the Rfam family "Eukaryotic large subunit ribosomal RNA", at positions 62 to 624 of the family's 3401-position model. The record is from RNAcentral. Lineage: Eukaryota; Fungi; Basidiomycota; Microbotryomycetes; Sporidiobolales; Sporidiobolaceae.